UCGGUUCGCAGUUACCGAAAUGGUCUAAUAUUUGGCUUCGGUGAAUAUAAACCGAAGUUUUUUGGCAAAAAUGUUUCAAACCGCAAGGGGCAAAAUUGGAUUUUUGGGGGGUAUAAAAGAAAUGAGGGGGGUCGGGAGAGAAAACAUCUUUUAAAUCAAUUAUAAAAAGAUGGAUAUGGUUUAUAAUUGGUUUUUUUGUAUUGGAUUGGUGUGGUUUUUUUUCUAAAAUGGAUUUGGUUAUUAAUUUUGGAUAUGAUUUGGUUAAUGGUGUGGUUAAGGAUACUUUGAAUUUUUUGCACACCCCUAACCUAGCUAGUAUCAUGUUCUACCUUUUUCACAUUAAUCGGUUCAAAUAUGAUUUUAAUCUCUCUAAUUACAAUAGCGUUUCUUAAUUUUAAUUUCUGUAAGUUUAUUUUGUUUGAAUUCAGUACUUCCUAAAUAUUAAAAUUGUUGUUUUAUAGGUUUCUGAUGUCAUAUAUGUCUCUAUAAUCACAACAUGUGGGGCAACAAUAUGUUAUUUUCACGUUGAAGCGGCUGGAAAAAUUUGUAGGUGAAAAGCGCUCGCUAAACAGUAAAGUCGAUACCGAAGUUUUAUUUUUAAAAAAGGGAACGUCAUAAACCCCUUCGAAAAUGAGAACAAGGUCAUCGAGACCAAAUUACGAGUUCGAGAGUCAGUUAUGCAAGUAGAUUGUAUUAGCACCUCUCGCAUUCGUCUUAUCCAACGUGGACCGUUAAUUAGUUUAGCGUUGAACUAGGUGUUAGUUUUAUGAUUAUUUAUUAUUAUCAAAAGUAUUUGCAACGAAUAAAAGAGAAAUAAAAAUAAUUUAAAGACCAAAAAAUGGAUUUUUUAUUAGUGUGGUUGACAAGAGUGUUCUCUCACUCCUGUGUAUCUUCCGGUGGGAUGGAGAAAUCAAAACUGCGUAGUUAUGGGUAAAUAUUUUUUUUGUUGGUUGAUUUUAUUUAUGAAAAUGGUUUGGUCGCACUUGGGCGAAAAAGCUUGAU
Molecule: long non-coding RNA, 1002 nt
Filed under: Trifolium pratense (red clover)
Lineage: Eukaryota; Viridiplantae; Streptophyta; Magnoliopsida; Fabales; Fabaceae
Description: long non-coding RNA (TPRA_LNC001454)
Source: RNAcentral